This is a long non-coding RNA of Drosophila sechellia, 251 nucleotides long. RefSeq lists it as uncharacterized. The transcript is spliced from 2 exons. NCBI's taxonomy places the organism in Eukaryota, Metazoa, Arthropoda, Insecta, Diptera, Drosophilidae. The record is from RefSeq and is a predicted model, not a curated record.
AAAUACUGAAUACAAUAUCGGCAGCAGCAGCGCAAACCAAAACAACAACGACGAGCCCAGUGGACAGUGCAAAAUAAUGGCACUCCCCCAGCGCCCCCAUUUCGUACUCCCCCCGCAGUCGUCUUUUUCCGGACAAACAGAACCCGAAAAAGUGAAGAUCACGGAAAGAAAUCGGAUCGUAGUCUAACAAUGGAUUAUACAAUUAUAGGGCGACCGUAACCUAAUUAAAAGAUUAACCUAUUUUUCUGCUA